CGAUAAGUCCAAGGAAUAUGUGAUUGGGAGAAUGCAAUCUAAAGAAGUUAGAUUCAUGAGACCAUUCUUUUGUAGACACAUCCUAAAUGUUCCUAAUCAUAGGAUUGCCAAUUAGGCAUUGACAGUCCGUUAAGAUCAGUACGUGCUGUGUCUUCUCUCAGGGAGAGUGACUAGUCUCGAGUCAUUGGUUUGUGCGACAUCAAGACAAGUACGUAGGUGCUCAAUAGAGAAUGAAUUCACUGAACACGAUCAACGAAGAGUUCUCAUAUUCAUGUCACAUGAGAACUCAUGGUUGGGAUAACGCAAAGUAGUCCUUUGACCUGAGGCAUCAUAGUUGUCUUGUGGUUAAGUCCUUGAUCUUUGAUUAUGUCAAAGUCACCCCAUCCGUGGGUGUCCACGGCAUCGUUGGGGUUAAGCCACUUAGCCAUGGAGGCAAUUGAAUGCGCAACAAGGGAUCUCUAACCUUCAAACCGUUUGAGGGAGAAUACUCUAUGAUAUGAUUGAAAAUCUCUGAUCAGAGUAUGAAUGAGAUUUAGGAAGGCGUUCC
Molecule: long non-coding RNA, 547 nt
Filed under: Malus domestica (apple)
Lineage: Eukaryota; Viridiplantae; Streptophyta; Magnoliopsida; Rosales; Rosaceae
Description: long non-coding RNA (MDOM_LNC005766)
Source: RNAcentral